RNAcentral lists this ribosomal RNA (506 nucleotides) under uncultured bacterium. RNAcentral's name for it is "partial 16S ribosomal RNA". It matches the Rfam family "Bacterial small subunit ribosomal RNA", at positions 29 to 523 of the family's 1533-position model. The record is from RNAcentral.
AGUGAACGCUGGCGGUAGGCCUAACACAUGCAAGUCGAACGGCAGCACAGGAGAGCUUGCUCUCUGGGUGGCGAGUGGCGGACGGGUGAGGAAUACAUCGGAAUCUACUUUUUCGUGGGGGAUAACGUAGGGAAACUUACGCUAAUACCGCAUACGACCUACGGGUGAAAGCAGGGGAUCUUCGGACCUUGCGCGAUUGAAUGAGCCGAUGUCGGAUUAGCUAGUAGGAGGGGUAAAGGCCCACCAAGGCGACGAUCCGUAGCUGGUCUGAGAGGAUGAACAGCCACACUGGAACUGAAACACGGUCCAGACUCCUACGGGAGGCAGCAGUGGGGAAUAUUGGACAAUGGGCGCAAGCCUGAUCCAGCCAUACCGCGUGGGUGAAGAAGGCCUUCGGGAUGUAAAGCCCUUUUGUUGGGAAAGAAAUCCAGCUGGUUAAUACCCGGUUGGGAUGACGGUACCCAAAGAAUAAGCACCGACUAACUUCGUGCCAGCCGCCGCAGUAA